AAAAAAAGAGAACUGCAUAAUAAUAUGGUGGAUCAUUUUCCACCUGUUACUUGAAUGAAUGUUGUGUAGAGAAGAAUUUAUGAUAUUUAGAAAAGAUAUAUUUUAUUUGCAUAGCGUUUGUGCUUAUCAAUUAUACAUGUAAAAUCUGAUUAUGUGUUAGAACUUAAGUGAUUACCACUAAAAGCUGAUAAUACAUGCCUGUAUUAAGUCCACUUAUCUAUUUCUGAUACUUGUUAAUUGCUUGCCAGGGAAAAUUUUCGCCUGUCCAUUAUUUUUUUCUGUGUUCUUUAAAUAUUAAUGACCAAAUUGGUUACCUUCCAGCUUCCAGAGUCA
RNAcentral lists this unclassified non-coding RNA (333 nucleotides) under Hevea brasiliensis (rubber tree). Lineage: Eukaryota; Viridiplantae; Streptophyta; Magnoliopsida; Malpighiales; Euphorbiaceae. The record is from RNAcentral.